UCGGACGGGAUUGAGGAGCUUGCUUCUCAUGAGAGUGGCGCACGGGUGCGUAACACGUAUGUAACCUACCUUGUUCAGGGGGAUAGCCUCUCGAAAGAGAGAUUAACACCGCAUAAAAUCAAUUUAUGGCAUCAUAGAAUGAUCAAAUAUUUAUAGGAACAAGAUGGGCAUGCGGAACAUUAGCUAGUUGGUAAGGUAACGGCUUACCAAGGCUACGAUGUUUAGGGGAUCUGAGAGGAUGACCCCCCACACUGGUACUGAGACACGGACCAGACUCCUACGGGAGGCAGCAGUAAGGAAUAUUGGUCAAUGGACGCAAGUCUGAACCAGCCAUGCCGCGUGCAGGAAGACGGCCCUACGGGUUGUAAACUGCUUUUGUACCGGAAUAAACCUUUUCACGUGUGAGAAGCUGAAUGUACGGUAAGAAUAAGGAUCGGCUAACUCCGUGCCAGCAGCCGCGGUAAUACGGAGGAUCCAAGCGUUAUCCGGAUUUAUUGGGUUUAAAGGGUGCGUAGGUGGCCUAUUAAGUCAGGGGUGAAAGACGGUAGCUUAACUAUCGCAGUGCCUUUGAUACUGAUGGGCUUGAAUACACUUGAGGUAGGCGGAAUGUGACAAGUAGCGGUGAAAUGCAUAGAUAUGUCACAGAACACCAAUUGCGAAGGCAGCUUACUAAAGUGUUAUUGACACUGAGGCACGAAAGCGUGGGGAUCAAACAGGAUUAGAUACCCUGGUAGUCCACGCCCUAAACGAUGAAUACUCGAUGUUGGCGAUAUACGGUCAGCGUCUAAGCGAAAGCGUUAAGUAUUCCACCUGGGGAGUACGCCCGCAAGGGUGAAACUCAAAGGAAUUGACGGGGGCCCGCAC
Molecule: ribosomal RNA, 864 nt
Filed under: uncultured bacterium
Lineage: Bacteria
Description: bacterial SSU rRNA
Rfam family: Bacterial small subunit ribosomal RNA
Source: RNAcentral